Molecule: long non-coding RNA, 5739 nt
Filed under: Homo sapiens (human)
Lineage: Eukaryota; Metazoa; Chordata; Mammalia; Primates; Hominidae
Description: non-protein coding lnc-ZNF131-11:1
Source: RNAcentral
AGCAACCGGCAACCUGCUUUCAGGACCCUUGUUUUUUAUGAGAGCUUUCGUUUACGCUUAAUAAAUUCUACUCCACUCACUCUUCGAUAUCCGCGUGCCCACUUCCUCCUGAUCGUGAGACAAGGACCCGGAUAUAGCUGAGCUUAGAAGCAAAAAUCCUGCAUCAAUAGCAAAUGCGGACACUGAACGACUAGCGGAGUACCCAGCGGCAAACUUUAGUUUUUGGUGCAGUUAAGCGCUUCCAGCGGUGCAGCAGCCGAGAAAACACUGAGUCUCCGCUAUUGGCGAAAGUGCUGAUGCGAAACUGCUGGCUCGACAUAGGCACAGAGCCGCGGAAGAGAACCCUAGAGACCAGGCACCAGCUCUGCUCCCCGACUCACGGGAGAAAGCUAGUUAGUAGGAAGCUGAGACAUGAUACUCAAAAUCAGUAGAAGAAAUUAUGCCACAUUUACUCUCCUGGGGAAGGCAGUGGGUAAGAAAAAAUAAAAUACAUAACAUUUACAUAAAAAAUAAAAUAAAUUUUUAAAGCAAACAGAAAUGAAAAUAAAAUACACCAGUAACCUCGCUCCCAGAAAAAGACACAUCAAAAAAAAUUUUUUUGAGUAUACAAAACAUACAAAUAACCCUACAAAGAAAUUGCAGUGUUGAACGAUGCGAUCCUACGGCUAUAUUUGUAUUAGCACUAAACCUGUGCCUCUUGCGCCUAUUCGAAAAUUCCUCGGAUUAAGAAGAAACAGCCAUGGCUAAACCGGUAUUUGCGACACCAAAAAGUUCCUGUAGCCUAGACACCUCAACUUCUGCAUGAGUGAAAAAUCACAAGCACAGCCAGGGCGAGAAUCUCUAUUGUGAAAUCACACUUGGUAUGACUAAAAGAUUUCAGGCACUGCUAAAUUUUUUUUUUAAUUACAUUCUCCAGUACCCAGAUUUCUACAAGACUUAAAAACCGUACGAACGGCUAUAAUGGGGGUUCCUAUUACAAAACAGGAACUUGCAACGACUACGUAGGCACGGUUAAAGCCAGCAUUGUUACAACUAGAAAUCGAAACUGGAAUAAAUCUCAACUUGCUACGCUAAGAAAUAGCUAAACCCUGACUUGGUCAGACUAAGAAAUCGGGAGUUUGAGAGCAGCCCGGGCAACAUGGCGAAACCCCGUCUCUACAAAAAAUUCUGGGUGUGGCGAUGGGGAGCCUGUAAUCCCAGCUGCUGGAAAGACUGAGGCGGGAGAAUUACUGGAGGUUGCAGUGAGCCGAGAUCGCACCACUGCACUCCAGCCUGGGAGACAAAAAUGGACAAACAAACCAACAAACAAAGUUAACAUUCUGAAUAGGUUUAUCAACAUAAAGACACUGCUAGCUAACAUUGGCUAGCCUCUCUAGAUCUGCUAGAGAUGUUUGCCUUUCUAGAUCUGCUUACCAUGCUUCAGUCACCUCUAUGUUGCAAGAAGUAACCUGCAUGGACUGCACUGGAGAGCUACUUUUGCUCCCAGGAUUCUGAUUGAGUUUAGGCACUGAAAGACACCAGCUGUUCAGAGAUAUGGAGUAGACCUUGCUUUGUUCCCCCUGGGCCUCAGUAUAUUGAAUUAUUUUACCUGAAGUCAAAAUUAGGCUGCACUGCGGCUCCAACAGUUCCAGCAGACACAGGGAGGGCAGCACUGAAAGGGCAACACUUCGUCCUGGACAUCUCAAAGUCCAGCCCCCGGUGAUCCCGGCAGCCAUCCGCCAGACCCUCUGAGGCCACAUCUGCCUCACUUCUCAACUGAGCCAUCUUCCCAGCAUAAACAGCCGCUGCUUCCUCCUCCUCCGCCCUCUCCUCACAUCCCCUGUGAAUCUGAAGCCUGCAGGCAGGAAAAAGCAGCCCUUUUUCCCUCCAACAUCCCCACCCUCACCUCUCAGGAGUAGAGUGUGCUUAGUGCGCCCCCAGCCCUGUCAGUUCUUCCGACUCUUAUUCCAACUCGGGAGCCCUCCCAGGCGCCUAUCCUAACUGGACCUUAGGGACCUUGAGUCUACUGAAGCCAGGAAGCCCACCCCUUGAAAACCUCCGGUGACUUCACAAGGAUACCCAGCCCCUAGUCGGGCAAGAGACCAUUCUCUGGGGAAAGAAAAUUCUGUGGUGGCUUGUAGGUUCCUCUUUCUUUUCUCUGACCUCUUUUCUCAGUUCUGCUCAUUUCACUCCUCUAGUGGGAAGACCUCAACCCUCCUCUCCCUUCCUCUACCCACUGUCAAGGUACACACACACACACACACACACACACACACACACACACAGACACAUCCACCUGGGGCUGCUCGACGUUUUCCUCCUCUGUCUUCCCUGGAGUCUUCCCUUGUCUUUCCUGUGCAGCAGAAGGUGGAUGGUGAUUCUCAUCCACCUUCAAUGCCCUAUACUCCCCACACGGAGGAGACACAUUGGUGAAAUAGGAUUGAUUUUUGUCCCCUGGUGGACCAGCAGAUGUCCUGGUUUCUGCCUCACACACCAAAGGAAGUGCUUGACUGCUUUUUUCAGCUUGGGUUAACCUGCUGAUCCAUCAGCAUAGCUUGUUACAGAUAUAAUCCAGGUUAUGUACGUGUGCUGGAGACAGCCACAUGCCACCCUGGAAGUCCCUCACGGCUCUUCCUGGUCUUCUUUUCUCAGCCAGGAGAUAGAGGAAAAGCGUCAGUGGGGCUGGGAAAUCAAUGACUGCCUGAGUUUCCUAACUUCCACAUCACUUCUGGAGCCAUGCCAGUUAGGGAUCUCACCAGUCCUUUAAUGUGCCCUGGGGGAGACCAUUGUAAUAGCACUUGAAAUCCCAGAGACAGCAAGGGUCCCACUGAAAGCACCUGGCACAGUAUUCUCUGGUAGAAUUUGGAAUCCAGUUUUCCAUUGACUGUUGUCAAUUUUGAAACCCAAAGAAAUCAGCACAUGUGCUGCUGCUCUUCUGGGAGGUCCAGCAGACACAGGGUCAAAUUCUGUAAAAUAGUUGAUGAGAUUUAUUGUGAACCAAAUGUGAGUGACCAUUAGCCCAUGAAACAGCCAUCAGGAGAUCCUGAGAACAUGUGCUUCAGGUGGUCAGUGCACAACUUGGUUUAUAUAUAUUUUAGGAAGUCAUGAGAUCAAUACAUUUAAGGUGUUGUACAUUGGUUCAGUCCAGAAAGGCAGUACAACUGGAAGCAUGAUCUUUCAAGUUGGAGAGGUUCAAAAAUUUUAUGAUUGGCAAUUUGUUGCAAUAACUAUUAUCUCUAGAAAGGAAUGCCUGGGUUGCCAUAAGGUGUUCCAGAGACAAAGGUGUCGCAGAUGAAGCCUCCAGGUGGAAGACUUCAGAGAGAUAGAUUGUAAAUGUUUCUAACCAGACUUAAAGAGUCUGUUCUAUCAAUAAUUUUAAAAGAGAGGAGAAUAUAAUGAGGCAUGUCUGACUCCCCCUUCCCAGCAUGGCUUGAAACUACUUUUUCAGUCUAACUUUGGAAUGCCCUUGGCGGAGAAGAGGGGUCCAUUCAGAUGUUGGUGGCAGGGGGCUUCAAAUUUUAUUUUUGGUUUACAAUAGCAAUGAAGUAAUAACCACAUUCAAGUUUAGUAAAUGAGUGAGCCCUCAUCUACUAUGGUUAUGUUUGUGUCCUGGUCUGAAAACCAAUUUUUUUUUUUUAUUGUUUUCUGGAAUUAUUCCUGGACAUGAGGACUCUACCUGUCAGAGUUCAGUUAGGAAAAGAAACCAAAGCAGCCCACACCGUGAGAGCCAAGCUAAUGUGCUGCCAUCCCACUGCCAAGCCAUAACCAGAAUGACUGUUCAUCUUUUUAUUGCCUCAUGUCCCACUAAGCCUGCCUACCAUUGUGACCCUGUUGGUAAGGCAAAUUUAGAAAUGGAGGUUUUAGGAGUCCAGGCCCACAACUCAAGGGAGGAAACAAAAAGGCAUAAAUGUGCCUAACCACGAAGAAUAAACACAGUAAAAUAAUAACUAAAUGUGUUUUAAAAGCUAAAUUUUAAAGAUGUUUUUUUGGGUGGGGGAGAUGGAGUCUUGCUCUGUUGCCCAGGCUGGGGUGCAGUGGCGGGAUCUCAGCUCACUGCAACCUCCGCCUCCCAGGUUCACACCUUUCUCCUGCCUCAGCCUCCCAAGUAGCUGGGACUACAGGCGCCCGCCAACAUGCCCGGCUAAUUUUUUUGCAUUUUUAAUAGAGAUGGGGUUUCACCGUGUUGGCCAGGAUGGUCUCGAUCUCCUGACCUUGUGAUCUGCUCGCCUCGGCCUCCCAAAGUGCUGGGAUUACAGGCGUGAGCCACCGCGCCCAGCCUUUUUUUUUUUUUUUUUUUUUUGAGACAGAGUUUUGCUCUUGUUGCCCAAGCUGGACUGCAGUGGCGCAAUUUUGGCUCACGGCAAUCGCUGCCUCCCGAUUCAAGCGAUUCUCCUGCCUGAGCCUCCCGAGUAACUGGGAUUACAGGCAUGCGCCACCAUGCCUGGCUAAUUCAGUAGAGAUGGGGUCUCAUCAUGUUGGUCAGGCUGGUCUUGAACUCCUGACCUCAGGUGAUCUGCCUGCCUCGGCCUCCCAAAGUGCUGGGAUAACAAAUGACUUCUUUUAACACAAAAACCCAAUGUACUAUCACUGUACUAACUACAAGAUUAGACAACAAAAAAACCAUUUUAUUACAUGACACUAUGCCAUAGGCAAUGAGUUCCUCUAAUUGAGCACAGUUUAAAAGUUGAGACAUGACCAUUUUCAUUUGCAUCCAUGAAGCUCUGUGGCUGUAUGUAUAAUCUCAAUUGGAGGAAAAAUCUAACAUCUACAUUUGAGGCUCAUGAGUCUGAGGCCUUGUUCGAUUGGCCCUCCUGUGGAUAUCCCCUCGCCCCACUGGCCCCAAGCCUACACAUCUUAUUAGAUUUGAGCUUAGUCCUCUGAGUGGGGUCUUGGAACCAGGAGCCUGGCUCUUGGAAUAUCUCCAUUAAUGUUUGCUGAGUUUUUAAAUACAUUUUUUCAAAAGUAGGGAUUAGAGGAUAGCAGUUAGGUUCUAAUGAGAGAAAAGAGAUUGAAAAUGUGAACGGGGUUUCCAAAUGCUGCUCCACUUAUUUUUUAGAUAUCAGACUCUGCAAUCCCCUUCCUACAUUUAUCCCUGCAUGGCAAUUUUUACCAAGUGCUUCAAUAAUAUAAUCCAACUUACAAAUAUUUAUAAUAUUCACCUGAAUUCAAUAUUGUGAACUUAAGAGCCAUAUGUCUUCAAUAACCCCUUAACAGCCAUCUGAUUAUGAUUCAAAUCCAGGAAUUCUAAUUCAUUCUGGAAGCAGAUACCUCUCAGAUCCACUCUGAGUAUACUCAAGUCCCCCACAGCUUUACUCUAAAGGAGGCAAAAGUUACAGCUGAACUAGAAACAUCUGAGCCAUUCCAGAUUCUUCAGCCUAGCAAGGUUAAAGUCAGACCUUGAAAACAAUUGAGUUCACUGGGGUCCAGUAUCUGGACCUUUUAUGCCAUAUAUUCGUAUAUCCACUUUCCUAUUUUGAAAUACAAAGCAGCACCAAAUUCAUACAAAUCUUUUCUUUCCCCACCUUCAGACAGAGUCUCCCUCUGUGGACCAGGCAGGAGUGCAGUGCCACAAACAGGGCUCACUGCAGUCUCAACAUCCUGGACUUAAACAAUCCUCUCACCUCAGCCUCCACAGUAGCUGGCAGCAAGGUGCAUGCCACCACCUUGGGUUAAUAUUUUUUAUUUUUUUGUAGAGAUGGGGUCUCCCCAUGUUGCCCAGGGUGGUCUCAGACUCCUGAGCUCAAGCAGUCCUCAACUUCA